RNAcentral lists this unclassified non-coding RNA (323 nucleotides) under Hevea brasiliensis (rubber tree). Lineage: Eukaryota; Viridiplantae; Streptophyta; Magnoliopsida; Malpighiales; Euphorbiaceae. The record is from RNAcentral.
CACGAACCUUAUCCUUUUUCAAUUGCUUGUUCCCCAAAAUGACAAGCCUUUCCUCUUCUUGGUUUUGGCUAAUAGCAUAGCUUGAUUCAUCAUCAUCAUCAUCAUCAUCACACCCGUGAACCACUUUUGUCAAACUAGCAGCGUCCACUAGUGAUUUUCUUUUGUACCCACCAUCAAGCAAUUUCUGCCUUUUGUUUCGGCCAUCAGAACCAGUUACUUCCUCUGUUAUUUCCUCUACUUGUGCUAGCGUCCCACAACUACUGAUCAGAAUGGGAGAGUGACCAGUGCUUGUUACUUCAUCAUCAUCAUCAUCAUCAUCAUCA